RNAcentral lists this ribosomal RNA (500 nucleotides) under uncultured bacterium. Its description in RNAcentral is "partial 16S ribosomal RNA". It matches the Rfam family "Bacterial small subunit ribosomal RNA", at positions 30 to 523 of the family's 1533-position model. The record is from RNAcentral.
AUUGAACGCUGGCGGCAUGCCUUACACAUGCAAGUCGAACGGUAACGGGUCCUUCGGGAUGCCGACGAGUGGCGAACGGGUGAGUAAUACAUCGGAACGUGCCUAGUAGUGGGGGAUAACUACUCGAAAGAGUGGCUAAUACCGCAUGAGAUCUACGGAUGAAAGCAGGGGAUCGCAAGACCUUGUGCUACUAAAGCGGCCGAUGGCAGAUUAGGUAGUUGGUGGGAUAAAAGCUUACCAAGCUGACGAUCUGUAGCUGGUCUGAGAGGACGAUCAGCCACACUGGGACUGCGACACGGCCCAGACUCCUACGGGAGGCAGCAGUGGGGAAUUUUGGACAAUGGGCGAAAGCCUGAUCCAGCAAUGCCGCGUGCAGGAUGAAGGCCUUCGGGUUGUAAACUGCUUUUGUACGGAACGAAAAGCCCCGGGUUAAUACCCUGGGGUCAUGACGGUACCGUAAGAAUAAGCACCGGCUAACUACGUGCCAGCCGCCGCGGUAA